UCUCGCCUCUCGUCUCUCGUCUCUUACUCUCUCUUUCUUCUCUUCUCUGGGCCGCCUCUCUUUCUUCUCUUCUCUGUCAAUUUCUCUUCAUCAAGAAGGACUAGAUCGAUGUCCAAGGAGCAGAUCAGGUUGAUGAGUCAUCGGGUUUCAUUUGAAAUCCAAGUAUGGUGCCAUGGUGGUUGACGAAAGAAGAACCAAAUGGAUUUAUUUUCUGAGAUUUUGGGUAUGACGAUGCAUGAAGACUUGUGCUCGAUCAGGAUCUCAAUGGGGUGAGCUUUACACACUGCUAUUACUACUUCGCCUUAUACAAUGAAUCUUUGUUUGUUUGUUUGUUUUUUUUUUUUUGUUUUGAAUCUUUGCUUAUCUGGUUUUGAUGUGAUUGUUUUUUGUUUCACUCUUGCUUGAGUGUGGAGUUGAUAUUAAUCUCAGGAACUAUCAAAAGCAAAGCAAAGCUCUGUCCGAUGCUCUCGGUCAAUUCUCAGGGAAGAAGCCCGUAGGGCUAUAUUGCACCAGCUGGCUUUUUGUGGUUCGUGAGAAUAAAAUGCAGGACUUGGAUCUAUUGCUUGAACAUGUCACAAUCUGAAGCUAAUUGAUCACCCUUUCUCAUUCAUCCGUUUUACUGUCCAACUCUCUGAUCUCCCUUCCUUUUUUUAUUGUUGCUAGGCUGGGAAAGCUAUGAUUGGCUGUUCUGAGGGCAGGAGGUGAGAUUAGGGAAGAAUGGUGUGGUGAAUGGUUUGGAAUUGGGUCCUCUCUCAAGACUUUGAGAAGGAAGGAUUUGAAUUAUUGAAGCCUGGCAUUGGAACCAUUCUUAUACCCAUCUAUAUUUUGCUCUUUUUGUUGGUGUUGUAUUUUUAUUGCUGCUGUUUUUAUCGUCUUAAUGUUGUAUUUUUAUCGGAGUAGGACUAAAGUUGUUCUUAU
Long non-coding RNA from Rosa chinensis, 918 nucleotides. RefSeq lists it as uncharacterized. NCBI's taxonomy places the organism in Eukaryota, Viridiplantae, Streptophyta, Magnoliopsida, Rosales, Rosaceae. The record is from RefSeq and is a predicted model, not a curated record. The transcript is spliced from 4 exons.